RNAcentral lists this small RNA (1209 nucleotides) under Pongo abelii (Sumatran orangutan). RNAcentral describes it as "retained intron". The record is from RNAcentral. Lineage: Eukaryota; Metazoa; Chordata; Mammalia; Primates; Hominidae.
AGAAUGGCCCCCGAUGCUUGGUUACUGACAGGAUGCAGCUUUGGGACAGGGGAGAUGACCAAGCAUUGUGCAAAAUAUCCCAUUGUAUGAAGCACUUGGUGGAAAGGUCAUGGCCUACAGUACUGAGUAGCCACCUCCGUCUGCAGAAUCAUAGGAUUCUGUCAUGCCUUCCCAAGAGCCUCCAGUAGACGACAAGAACGAGGACGCCGACCUUCCUUCCGAGGAGACAGAUGGAAUUGCUUACAUUUCCUCAUCCCGGAAACAUGACAGCAUUAAAGACGACUCCGAGGACCUUAAGCCAGUUAUCGAUGGGAUGGAUGGAAUCAAAAUCUCUCAGGGGCUUGGGCUGCAGGACUUCGACCUAAUCAGAGUCAUCGGGCGUGGGAGCUACGCCAAGGUUCUCCUGGUGCGGUUGAAGAAGAAUGACCAAAUCUACGCCAUGAAAGUGGUGAAGAAAGAGCUGGUGCAUGAUGACGAGGAUAUUGACUGGGUACAGACAGAGAAGCACGUGUUUGAGCAGGCAUCCAGCAACCCCUUCCUGGUCGGAUUACACUCCUGCUUCCAGACGACAAGUCGGUAAGAAAAAGAAGGGUGUUUCUGAUAUUCUGCAGAUUUCAGAUUUGAACUGCACAGAAGCUGAGUCUGGUGUGAUGUGUCAACUGUCACCUGUAAGGUUCUCCCAGUUGCUGUACGGGUGUUUUCAGGCCAGCAGACUCUCUUUGUUGUUCUCCUUGGUUGGUGUCAUAUGAAGUACAUUUCAUGAUCUGAAGUUAUUUAAUUCCAUUUAUGAAAUACUUACUGGAGGUAUCCCACUGAGUGCAGGCAUUGGGUCAGGUGCUGGGGCUACAAAAGUAAGCAAAAGAGGUGGAUUUCUGUGCUUAUUAAAAUAUGUACAGCUUCACCUUCAAGCUUUAUAUAUAUUGGAAUUCUGUGGCUUUGAAUGCGUUUGAAAGCUGGUGAUCUAGGAUAUUAAAUGUAUGCUCUGUUUAGUUUUGGGGGCCAGUUGACUUUGACCUACCUGAUUUGUUUAUUUGAAGAGUUAUUGAGUAUGUUCUGCAUUGAGUCCUCAAGACCAUCCCCAGGUUCGAUGAUUGGCUGGGACUCCUGGGAUCAGUUAUAUGGCCGCACUGGGGGCCACAGCUGGCAUACUGCACUGGGGAGAUAAAGGAGGCUUGGCCAAGGAAAAAGGCACACGGGGAAAAUUCCAGA